This 429-nucleotide ribosomal RNA is filed under the name uncultured bacterium. RNAcentral's name for it is "bacterial SSU rRNA". It matches the Rfam family "Bacterial small subunit ribosomal RNA", at positions 355 to 775 of the family's 1533-position model. The record is from RNAcentral.
UGAGGAAUCUUGCGCAAUGGGGGAAACCCUGACGCAGCAACGCCGCGUGAGUGAGGAAGGUCUUCGGGUCGUAAAGCUCUGUCAGGCGGGAAGAAAUGCAUGGAGGUGAACAGCCGCCAUGCUUGACGGUACCGCCAGAGGAAGCACCGGCUAACUCCGUGCCAGCAGCCGCGGUAAUACGGGGGGUGCAAGCGUGGUCCGGAUUCAUUGGCCGUAAAGAGCGUGUAGGCGGCUUGGUAGGUCAGAUGUGAAAGCCCUGGGCUCAACCCGGGAAGUGCAUUUGAAACUGCCAGGCUCGAGUAGGGGAGAGGGAAGUGGAAUUCCUGGUGUAGAGGUGAAAUUCGUAGAUAUCAGGAGGAACACCGGUGGCGAAGGCGACUUCCUGGCCCUAUACUGACGCUGAGACGCGAGAGCGUGGGUAGCAAACAG